AGAGUUUGAUCNUGGCUCAGGAUGAACGCUAGCGGCAGGCUUAAUACAUGCAAGUCGUGGGGCAUCACGGUGUAGCAAUACAUGGGUGGCGACCGGCAAACGGGUGCGUAACACGUACGCAACUUACCCAUUACAGAGGGAUAGCCCAGGGAAACUUGGAUUAAUACUUCAUAUUAUAUAGGACUGGCAUCAGUUUUAUAUCAAAGCUACGGCGGUAAUGGAUGGGCGUGCGGUUGAUUAGAUAGUUGGCGGGGUAACGGCCCACCAAGUCUACGAUCAAUAGCUGAUGUGAGAGCAUGAUCAGCCACACGGGCACUGAGACACGGGCCCGACUCCUACGGGAGGCAGCAGUAAGGAAUAUUGGGCAAUGGACGCAAGUCUGACCCAGCCAUGCCGCGUGAAGGAUGAAGGUCCUCUGGAUUGUAAACUUCUUUUAUCUGGGGCGAAAACAACUCUUUCUAGAGUUCUUGACAGUACCAGAGGAAUAAGCACCGGCUAACUCCGUGCCAGCAGCCGCGGUAAUACGGAGGGUGCAAGCGUUAUCCGGAUUCACUGGGUUUAAAGGGUGCGUAGGCGGGCAGGUAAGUCAGUGGUGAAAUCCCCGAGCUUAACUCGGGAACUGCCGUUGAUACUAUCUGUCUUGAAUACUGUGGAGGUAAGCGGAAUAUGUCAUGUAGCGGUGAAAUGCUUAGAUAUGACAUAGAACACCAAUUGCNAANGCAGCUUGCUACACGGUCAUUGACGCUGAGGCACGAAAGCGUGGGGAUCAAACAGGAUUAGAUACCCUGGUAGUCCACGCCCUAAAC
This 806-nucleotide ribosomal RNA is filed under the name uncultured bacterium. Its description in RNAcentral is "bacterial SSU rRNA". It matches the Rfam family "Bacterial small subunit ribosomal RNA", at positions 8 to 807 of the family's 1533-position model. The record is from RNAcentral.